GCCCUGCUCAGAAUAGCACCUGGAGAUUUUCCAGUACUCUACCAGUCUCGGUUACGGGAGGGAGAGUCAAGCAGAGGCCUAUCCAUUCCAUUCCUAGCUUGGGCAGUGGCUAGUGAGUGGAAGGCAAUCUGUUCCAAGU
This 139-nucleotide small nucleolar RNA is filed under the name Ornithorhynchus anatinus (platypus). Lineage: Eukaryota; Metazoa; Chordata; Mammalia; Monotremata; Ornithorhynchidae. The record is from RNAcentral.